RNAcentral lists this long non-coding RNA (206 nucleotides) under Mytilus galloprovincialis (Mediterranean mussel). The record is from RNAcentral. Lineage: Eukaryota; Metazoa; Mollusca; Bivalvia; Mytilida; Mytilidae.
AAACAAGCAUUUUUCUAGUUUCAGGAUAAUAACUUAGUGUACAAGUAUUUAAAUUGCUCUGAAAUUAUACCUCAAUGUUGAGACCACACGUAGAAGGUUAUGAUUCAUUUGAGGGGUUAUGGGGCCAAAGUUUAGGAAUUCAGGGCCAAAAAGGGGCCAAAACAAGCAUUUUUAUAGAAGCUUCCCUUCUGUUAAGGGGUAUGUUA